Non-coding RNA from Zootermopsis nevadensis, 752 nucleotides. The record is from RefSeq and is a predicted model, not a curated record. Lineage: Eukaryota; Metazoa; Arthropoda; Insecta; Blattodea; Termopsidae.
UAUUUUUUCACAGAAGUAAAUUUCUUCAGAUUUCUGGCAAUUUGCUUUGCUGUUUUGACCCUGAGGAAAACCAUCCAUGAGUUAUCAGAUGGGCCCAGUGAAUGGAUUUUUCUCUCCAAUGGCAGCAUCGUCAGCCCAGACUGGCAAAUAUCCUUGUGGGAGAGGUUUAUCGGCCCGCACUCAGGUACGUACUCAAUCAUGCCAAAGGCCAGUUGUUAUUUGGCUUGUGAGGGCGAUGAAGUCUCUGUCUCAAUUGAAAUCUCGCCACCCAACCGUUCGUUUUGGUUGAAAUUUGUAUGUUUUCAUAAUGCUUGUGGGUGUGACGUAUCGAGAGACCAUAAUGCAUUGAUCCAGUUACAGCGGUGUUAAUAAGAAGUAGUAGAUCUGCACUGUUUCAAAAAUAAGUAUAACCAAAAAGGUCACUUCAUUCGAGAAUUAUUAAUUAUAAUAUAUUACAUAAAAUUGCCUGCGGUCAUACUUCGAUAUUUUGUACAGUUAACUUCUUGAGUAAAAAAACCAUCCAAAUUUCUCCUUAUUUUAUUUAUUUGUGAUUCUGCUCUUCUCGUGAUCGGUUUUGUGAUGAGACUUAAACUCGCAUUAGAUGUGCGUUCCUUUGAUACAGACCUGCAACUUUACGACACAAGUCAACUAGCACACAGGCUAAAGUGGUAGAAGUAAACAAACAAAUUUUGGUCAUUAACAUUUUUUAGCGUAAAUUGCUGUUUGUGUAAACUCUAAAAUCGAGAUAUUUU